UAUCUCUGGUUUCUCUUAAGUCAUGCAUAAAUCUUUCGCCUUUUGCUAAAGAUUUCCGUGGAGAGGAUCGUCCAUGAGUUUGAUGUAUUUUUGUGAGCUUUGCUCUGGCAAAGCU
This is a small nuclear RNA of Hemibagrus wyckioides, 115 nucleotides long. RefSeq annotates it as U5 spliceosomal RNA. The transcript has a single exon. The record is from RefSeq and is a predicted model, not a curated record. NCBI's taxonomy places the organism in Eukaryota, Metazoa, Chordata, Actinopteri, Siluriformes, Bagridae.